GGUGGCUCAGUGGUAGAGUGCUUGUCUUGCAUGCAUGACGCCCUGGGUUCCAAUCCUCAGCACCA
This 65-nucleotide transfer RNA is filed under the name Dipodomys ordii (Ord's kangaroo rat). It matches the Rfam family "tRNA". Rfam says of the family: Transfer RNA (tRNA) molecules are approximately 80 nucleotides in length. Their secondary structure includes four short double-helical elements and three loops (D, anti-codon, and T loops). Further hydrogen bonds mediate the characteristic L-shaped molecular structure. tRNAs have two regions of fundamental functional importance: the anti-codon, which is responsible for specific mRNA codon recognition, and the 3' end, to which the tRNAs corresponding amino acid is attached (by aminoacyl-tRNA synthetases). tRNAs cope with the degeneracy of the genetic code in two manners: having more than one tRNA (with a specific anti-codon) for a particular amino acid; and 'wobble' base-pairing, i.e. permitting non-standard base-pairing at the 3rd anti-codon position. Lineage: Eukaryota; Metazoa; Chordata; Mammalia; Rodentia; Heteromyidae. The record is from Rfam by way of RNAcentral.